UCGUUGUAGCAAUACGAUGGAAAGUUUAGUGGCGAACGGGUGCUUAACACGUGGGCAACCUGCCAGGAAGUGGGGGAUAGCUCGCCGAAAGGCGAAUUAAUACCGCAUGUGAUUAGAGAGGACAUCCUUUCGAAAUUAAAGUCGGGGCAACCUGACGCUUCUUGUGGGGCCCGCGGCCUAUCAGCUAGUUGGUGAGGUAACGGCCCACCAAGGCUUUGACGGGUAGCUGGUCUGAGAGGACGACCAGCCACACUGGGACUGAGACACGGCCCAGACACCUACGGGUGGCAGCAGUCGAGAAUUUUUGACAAUGGGGGAAACCCUGAUCGAGCGACGCCGCGUGGAGGAUGAAGGUCUUCGGAUUGUAAACUCCUGUCAUUGGGGAACAAUGCACAGAUAUUAACUGUAUUUGUGUUGAUAGUACCCGAAGAGGAAGAGACGGCUAACUCUGUGCCAGCAGCCGCGGUAAUACAGAGGUCUCAAGCGUUGUUCGGAUUCAUUGGGCGUAAAGGGUGCGUAGGCGGCGCGGUAAGUCGGGUGUGAAAUCUUGGAGCUUAACUCCGAAACUGCAUUCGAUACUGCCGUGCUUGAGGACUGGAGAGGAGACUGGAAUUCACGGUGUAGCA
RNAcentral lists this ribosomal RNA (626 nucleotides) under uncultured Verrucomicrobiota bacterium. Its description in RNAcentral is "bacterial SSU rRNA". It matches the Rfam family "Bacterial small subunit ribosomal RNA", at positions 71 to 680 of the family's 1533-position model. The record is from RNAcentral. Lineage: Bacteria; Pseudomonadati; Verrucomicrobiota.